CUUGGAUGGCUAUAAUUGCAGACAGCUAAAUACCAUUGGCCUCUACAUUAGGAAAAGGUGUAUUUUGAAAGAUAUGAAGGAAAAAGGGUUGUGGGGGCUUUCUAAUGUGUAGGGCCUAGAGAUCAAUGUGUGAAGCCCGUUAACAAGUCCUAUCUGAGUAUGUACAAAUAAUAUCAUGUACCUAGGUGUGCCCUACAACUAUAAAGGACCAAAUCUGCCUGUAGGGGAAAAGUGUGUGUGGCUAGGCAAGAUGUGAGCUGAAAGAGACCUAGCUGCAGGGAAUUUGGCUCACGAGGAGCAUCUGCUAAGGUCAAAAGGUGUGUAAUUUGUAUUGAGCAGAAGUUAAGUGGAAAAGAGAAAGAGCUAGAGAAAAGCAGGUAGCAUCGUUGUUAAUUUUUCUAGCUGUUUUUUUCAUCCAAGCAAUUCCCCCCCCUAAACAAAGGCAAAAAGUUCUGUAUUCAUUCAAAAAUGCAUGGCGCUCAGUUACCUAGGAGACAGAUUAUGGCCCUGGCAGACAUGCUUAAGUAACCCAUGUGGACAAAACUGAUUGUCACCUUUUUUAUUUUCAAACCUAAAGGGAGUGUGUUUUUGGCACUAUGCAGUACCAUAAGAGCCCUUGUGAAAAUGUGUGGGAAAUACUAAGCAUGGGAGUCACAUAUUUGGUCCCAGGUUUUGUAUAAUGAUGUAACAUACAUCUAUGAACUGGAUGUAGUAAAUAUGUUUAUAUAUUUUAAUGACUUAAUUAGAUAUACAUAGUUAUUAAGGUCAGAAGGGACCAUUAUGAUCAUCUAGUCCGACCUCCUGCACAACGCAGGCCACAGAAUCUCACCCACCCACUCCUGCGAAAAACCUCUCACCUAUGUCUGAGCUAUUGAAGUCCUCAAAUCGUGGUUUAAAGACUUUCAAGGUGCAGAGAAUCCUCCGGCAAGUGACCCAUGCCCCAUGCUACAGAGGAAGGUGAAAAACCUCCAGGGCCUCUGCCAAUCUGCCCUGGAGGAAAAUUCCUUCCCGACCCCAAAUAUGGCGAUCAGCUGAACCCUGAGCAUAUGGGCAAGAUUCACCAGCCAGAUACCCAGGAAAGAAUUCUCUGUAGUAACUCAGAUCGCAACCCAUCUAACGUCCCAUCACAGGCUAUCAGGCCUAAAAACUUAAAAUUCACUGUUCAGCUAACCAAGUAUAAACUUAACAUAUCAGAGGUGUCAGUAUACACACACGUGCCCCCCUGGCCCCUGCACUUAUAGAACACAUGUGCUUGGGUUUUGCAAUAGAUCAGAUCACGAUGCUUUUCUUUGUAGUUACGAGGUUUUUCUUGGCCCUGCUUGGUGCUCUUGCAAGCAGUACCAAGCAUUGCUCUGCCUAGUCUGAGGAAUGCCACUGACCUGAGUACUUACAUGGGAAGGGAUUGCAGUCGCAAGACCCUUAAACAUCAAGAUUGUUUUUACCUCUGAACGGAUGAGUCUGAUUAAACUGUUCCCACCCAAUACUCCCAGUCAGUGUGUGUGGCAGGGACACACCACUUUUUGCAUGGACCACCUGCCAGGUAGUACAGUGCCCAGAACUCAGGAACGCGAGAGCAUGAAAGAAGCUCUUUUUCCAUUGGCUGGGGAUGGGGAGCUGGGUUACCUAAUUGACUCUCACUUUCCCCUCCCCUUCCUAUUUAAACUCUGCCAGGUGGAGGAGGGGUGAGGAUAACUGGAGCUGCUUGCUCCGGCCUGGGUGCAAGUGUUCUGAGGGCAGUGGAAGGGUUUGGGCAAAGGAUGCAGCGUGUGCACUAGAGUCAAAGGCAAGAAUUAGGUGAGUUAGCAGAGAAGGGUAAGCACAGUUUAAUAGUGGCCUCUGUAGGAAAACAUAGGUGCAGGCUAAAAGGGAAAAAGCAUGUUACCUAAACCAGCGGCUUAGGGCCAGCUUGUCCCCGCGAUGGGAAAAAUCUGGGUAGGGGAGUGGAAACGUCGGAGGCUCCCCUUGAUCAUGUCCAUGGCAUCAGUGCUUUAGUCCAGGUUGGACCCCAGCCUGGAAUGAGUUAUUCUGACCCCCAAAGCCUGCAGCUGCGUAGAGACCAGAGAAGUGUGAUGGGGCGUUGUGCAGCCAUACUGGCUCCUGCCACUGUGGCUUAGUCAGCUGACAAACUUAUGUGGGGUCAGAGUUGCAGGGGAUGUGUAGAGUGGUCACUUCAGCUCUAGCCCGUCCCUUUCCCAGGGAUGAAUCCUGACCCCUGGUGCCCUCCACGGGGAGGCUUGGGAGGGAACGAAAGAAUGUUGCUAGGGAGGUGCCACCCCCACCUAGCUCUGUGUCACCCCCUCUUGGCUGCCCAGGCUGAAAGAACAGCUCAGUCCUCAAAGCUGAUGAAAGGUGUUGUUGUUUUUUUUUCUCCUGGAGCUGCUGUCCUGGCCUAAGUGCUUUCCCCAGCGUGUCCUGCCUGCCCUGUAUCCCUGCGAUGGCACAGUUACAGCAGUAAGGGAGGAGAUUUUAAACUCUUACCGCUUUAGCCCAUAGAUGUAACAAACCGCGAUUGUCUCCACCAGAACGAUGAGCAGCAGAGAGAGGGUAGCUGCAUAGUCAUUGAAUAUGUCGAACCAAUAGUUUCCAGCCUCCAUGGUGAACGCCAGGCCAACAAUGCAGUUGAUGAAACACACAGUACCUGUAGAAAUAAAACAGAGGUUAUUUGAGUCACAACGGAAAGGCAAAUGUUAGUAGGGCAGGAGUCAGAAGCUUUGCGUAGAAUAAAAGACACUGGGUUUUAGCCUGUUUGUAGUGGUAAUUGGUAGUCUUAUUAGGGGAACCAAGAAAACUAGCAAUAUCUAGAUACUACAGGGAUUGAUGCUAUAUAAAUACUCAGGCUAGAGCGUCAAUGUGGAUGAGGCCUGUGCCCCCAUUGUUAAGUGUACGUAGCUUGCAUUAUAAAGCAUUAAUAACCAUUUCCCUACACUUGAAAAACUGAUUCUUCAUCUGGCACUUUCCUAUAUAAAUGAGCAGAGAUGCCUUGAAAAGGCACCGAUUGUUACAAUCAGCAUCUGGGAUGUUCUCUGACAGCACUGACUGGCGGGGUUAGAGAAAGGUGAAACUUCCUCUUGCCUGCUUUCUAAGUUACAUUUAAUUUUAAAGGCAGUAUCUUAGUAUUUCGGCACUCAGCACCAAAUGUGAGGUGCCUUGCAUCUGCAUAUCUCCAUCUUGUGAAGAGCUCAAAUCACUUUGCAAACAUCAAUGAACUAAGAUUCACAGCAUCCCUGUGAAUCUGGAGGGUAUUGUGAUUUUUCUUUUUAUUUGACCUGAUGACGACCGUCUAAAUCUCCUGUUACAACAGUAAAGGCAUGGUGUGACUGCUGUUAAAGUAUGCAGACACUAAAAAAUAUUUCCUUGCAAAAUAUUUUCUAAUGACCCUGCUCCGACACUGUUAUUGCUGGUUUGGUUAUGAGCACAGAGCUAUUGACUGUGAUGUCUUGUAACUAGAUAUAGAAGAAGCAUCUCUAAUUAUUUGUUUAAUCACACAUGCACCCUCCCACCGAGUGGCCUUUGUUCUGUGUCAUGAGCACAAAAAGUCUUUGCAUGGUUUUGGCAGGCUAUUUGAAUGAAAUAACCAUGGAACUCUGACUGCUGAUAAUGAUAGACUAUUUAUAGUUAAAACUAUGCAGGUGGUGUAAUACAGGAACUGAUGCUGUCAUAAAUAUAAAGGGAAGGGUAAACACCUUGACAAUCCGUCCUGGCCAGAGGAAAAACCCUUUCACCUGUAAAGGGUUAAGAAGCUAGGAUAACCUCACUGGCACCUGACCACAAUGACCAAUGAGGAGACAAGAUACUUUCAAAGCUGGGGGGAAACAAAGGGUAUGGGUCUGUCUGUGUGAUGCUUUUGCCGGGGACAGAACAGGAAUGGAGUCUUAGAACUUAACCUGACCAUCAAGAUAAGCUUCUAGUUCUGACUGGGGGGAAAGGAAACAAAGAAAAAAAGACAACCAAGGCUGGUGCACAAAGGAGCAAGUUACCGUGUCUAGUUCAGCUUCCAGACUGCAGUUUUUAAUCUGUGGCAAUAAUUCUACAUACUGGUUUGGAUCUGUUGUUAUGUUACUGUGCAUACCUGAAAACGAUUGACAUCAGGAAAAAAGAAAAGGAUUUCUGCUUGUUCAGUCUUUUCACCAGUAUUUUCUACCACCAGACUGAAGGUGGCAUGUCAGGAAUGACCCGUGAGUACAGAUCAGAGCACCUGCAUCUCUAUCUACUUCAACUGAGCCUGCAAUCUGAUACUCAGAUUUGUGCCCACAACUGAAAGGUGGGCAAAACUAUUGGUUGGACAUAUGCUUUGAGAUUGUAAAUUGUAUCUGCAAAAAGGAUGUCUCCAAAAAUUUGGCCCUCGGUAUUUGCGCUCUUGUUUGUUUGCUAUCUUGAUAAUCUGUUUGGAUAUUUCCUGGGAUGAUGUACUAUGAGAGCCCUUGACACUGGAGAGUCUGUGGAAUUUCCAGCUAUUGUACAAACCUUUUUG
Caretta caretta (loggerhead turtle) is the source of this 4471-nucleotide long non-coding RNA. RefSeq lists it as uncharacterized. NCBI's taxonomy places the organism in Eukaryota, Metazoa, Chordata, Testudines, Cheloniidae. The record is from RefSeq and is a predicted model, not a curated record.